Molecule: ribosomal RNA, 257 nt
Filed under: uncultured bacterium
Lineage: Bacteria
Description: partial 16S ribosomal RNA
Rfam family: Bacterial small subunit ribosomal RNA
Source: RNAcentral
UACGUAGGGGUGCAAGCGUUGUCCGGAAUUAUUGGGCGUAAAGAGCUCGUAGGCGGUCUGUUGCGUCGGCUGUGAAAACCCGGGGCUUCAACCUGGGAAUGGCAUUUGGGACUGCAAGGCUGGAGUGCGGCAGAAGAGACUGGAAUUCCUGGUGUAGCAGUAGAAAUGCGUAGAUAUCAGGAGGAAUACCGAUGGCGAAGGCAGGUCUCUGGGCUGACACUGACGCUCAUGCACGGAAAGCGUGGGGAGCAAACAGG